CAGUAGCUGGUCUGAGAGGACGACCAGCCACACUGGGAGUGAGACACGGCCCAGACUCCUACGGGAGGCAGCAGUGGGGAAUUUUGGACAAUGGGGGCAACCCUGAUCCAGCAAUGCCGCGUGAGUGAAGAAGGCCUUCGGGUUGUAAAGCUCUUUUGUCAGGGAAGAAACGGUAGUAGCGAAUAACUAUUACUAAUGACGGUACCUGAAGAAUAAGCACCGGCUAACUACGUGCCAGCAGCCGCGGUAAUACGUAGGGUGCAAGCGUUAAUCGGAAUUACUGGGCGUAAAGCGUGCGCAGGCGGUUGUGUAAGUCAGAUGUGAAAUCCCCGGGCUCAACCUGGGAAUUGCAUUUGAGACUGCACGGCUAGAGUGUGUCAGAGGGGGGUAGAAUUCCACGUGUAGCAGUGAAAUGCGUAGAUAUGUGGAGGAAUACCGAUGGCGAAGGCAGCCCCCUGGGAUAACACUGACGCUCAUGCACGAAAGCGUGGGGAGCAAACAGGAUUAGAUACCCUGGUAGUCCACGCCCUAAACGAUGUCUACUAGUUGUCGGGUCUUAAUUGACUUGGUAACGCAGCUAACGCGUGAAGUAGACCGCCUGGGGAGUAC
This 609-nucleotide ribosomal RNA is filed under the name uncultured Herbaspirillum sp. Its description in RNAcentral is "bacterial SSU rRNA". It matches the Rfam family "Bacterial small subunit ribosomal RNA", at positions 281 to 883 of the family's 1533-position model. The record is from RNAcentral. Lineage: Bacteria; Pseudomonadati; Pseudomonadota; Betaproteobacteria; Burkholderiales; Oxalobacteraceae.